AUUGAACGCUGGCGGCAUGCUUUACACAUGCAAGUCGAACGGCAGCGCGGGCUUCGGCCUGGCGGCGAGUGGCGAACGGGUGAGUAAUACAUCGGAACGUGCCCAGUAGUGGGGGAUAGCUCGGCGAAAGCCGGAUUAAUACCGCAUACGACCUGAGGGUGAAAGCGGGGGAUCUUCGGACCUCGCGCUAUUGGAGCGGCCGAUGGCAGAUUAGCUAGUUGGUGGGGUAAAGGCCUACCAAGGCGACGAUCUGUAGCUGGUCUGAGAGGACGACCAGCCACACUGGGACUGAGACACGGCCCAGACUCCUACGGGAGGCAGCAGUGGGGAAUUUUGGACAAUGGGCGAAAGCCUGAUCUAGCAAUGCCGCGUGUGUGAUGAAGGCCUUCGGGUUGUAAAGCACCUUUGGCGGGAACGAAAAGGACUGUGCCAAUACCACGGUUCGAUGACGGUACCCGCAGAAUAAGCACCGGCUAACUACGUG
RNAcentral lists this ribosomal RNA (484 nucleotides) under uncultured bacterium. RNAcentral describes it as "partial 16S ribosomal RNA". It matches the Rfam family "Bacterial small subunit ribosomal RNA", at positions 29 to 507 of the family's 1533-position model. The record is from RNAcentral.